This 60-nucleotide transfer RNA is filed under the name Mus musculus (house mouse). The record is from Rfam by way of RNAcentral. Lineage: Eukaryota; Metazoa; Chordata; Mammalia; Rodentia; Muridae.
GUGGUUCAGUGGUUAAGAACACUGACUGCUCUUCCAGAGGACCUGGGUUUGAUUCCCAGC